CGACGUCCGUCGCGUUCGCGGGAGUUUUAUAUUUCCUUGAACCGAUGCUCAUUGAGCUUGGGCCUGGAACAUUGCCUGGUGGGUGUGAUCGUCUCGCGUCAGACGAACCCGAAGCCUUGCUGACCUCGCCCACCUGAAUCCCCUGGGUUCAGGAAUGCGGCUCUCGGCUCGCGGCGGACACCCC
Molecule: non-coding RNA, 184 nt
Filed under: Caldimonas caldifontis
Lineage: Bacteria; Pseudomonadati; Pseudomonadota; Betaproteobacteria; Burkholderiales; Sphaerotilaceae
Description: Zhizhongheella caldifontis 6S RNA
Rfam family: 6S / SsrS RNA
About the family: E. coli 6S RNA was the first non coding RNA to be sequenced, but its function was unknown until recently.
Source: RNAcentral